Molecule: ribosomal RNA, 671 nt
Filed under: Boophis elenae
Lineage: Eukaryota; Metazoa; Chordata; Amphibia; Anura; Mantellidae
Description: partial 16S ribosomal RNA
Rfam family: Bacterial large subunit ribosomal RNA (bases 1-490)
Source: RNAcentral
GGGUCUUAGGUAGUUUACCCAAGCAAAAGACUUUUAGUUUGCCCCCCCGAAACUAAGUGAGCUACUUUAAAAUAGCCCCAGAGCCAACCCAUCUCUGUUGCAAUAGAGUGGGAUAAUUUUUAAGUAGAGGUGAUAAACCUAUCGAACUUAGAGAUAGCUGGUUUUUUAAGAAAAGAUUUUUAGUUCAGCCCUGAGUCUUCUAUUACACAAGAAUUAAACUAAACUCAGGAGUUAUUCAAAUAAGGCACAGCUUAUUUGAAACAGGAUACAACCUAGAAAAAAGGGUAAGACAAAUUUAAUCUCUGACAAGUGGGCCUGAAAGCAGCCACCUUUUAAAAAGCGUCAAAGCUUAACAUUAAUAAUUUUCUUAAUAUCUAAAUUAAUUUCUAACCCUUAUUUACUAUUAAAAAACUCCCUCAAAAUUUUGUGGGAUUUUUUUGGAAAAGAAAAAGAGGAGAAUUUUUUCUCCCAAAAAAGAAGGUUCGCAAGCCACAACAGACAAACUGAUGGCAAUUAACGUUUAUGAGUCACUUGUAGUAACACCAACAGGAAAACUCUACAUGAGUUCUAACGUCAACCUUACACCAGCACAUUUAUGGAAAGAUUAAAAGAGCGGGAAGGAACUCGGCAAACACGGAUCCCGCCUGAUUCUAAAAAAAAACACAAAGAAA